GUCCAGGGAUGGGAAUCGAACCCACAAUGUUCCGCUUACCGGGCAGAUGCCAUGUUCACUAGAGUACCCUGGA
RNAcentral lists this transfer RNA (73 nucleotides) under Cordylochernes scorpioides. RNAcentral's name for it is "tRNA-Thr". The record is from RNAcentral. Lineage: Eukaryota; Metazoa; Arthropoda; Arachnida; Pseudoscorpiones; Chernetidae.